Molecule: ribosomal RNA, 1426 nt
Filed under: Bacillus subtilis
Lineage: Bacteria; Bacillati; Bacillota; Bacilli; Caryophanales; Bacillaceae
Description: bacterial SSU rRNA
Rfam family: Bacterial small subunit ribosomal RNA
Source: RNAcentral
CUAUAAUGCAGUCGAGCGGACAGAUGGGAGCUUGCUCCCUGAUGUUAGCGGCGGACGGGUGAGUAACACGUGGGUAACCUGCCUGUAAGACUGGGAUAACUCCGGGAAACCGGGGCUAAUACCGGAUGGUUGUUUGAACCGCAUGGUUCAAACAUAAAAGGUGGCUUCGGCUACCACUUACAGAUGGACCCGCGGCGCAUUAGCUAGUUGGUGAGGUAACGGCUCACCAAGGCAACGAUGCGUAGCCGACCUGAGAGGGUGAUCGGCCACACUGGGACUGAGACACGGCCCAAACUCCUACGGGAGGCAGCAGUAGGGAAUCUUCCGCAAUGGACGAAAGUCUGACGGAGCAACGCCGCGUGAGUGAUGAAGGUUUUCGGAUCGUAAAGCUCUGUUGUUAGGGAAGAACAAGUACCGUUCGAAUAGGGCGGUACCUUGACGGUACCUAACCAGAAAGCCACGGCUAACUACGUGCCAGCAGCCGCGGUAAUACGUAGGUGGCAAGCGUUGUCCGGAAUUAUUGGGCGUAAAGGGCUCGCAGGCGGUUUCUUAAGUCUGAUGUGAAAGCCCCCGGCUCAACCGGGGAGGGUCAUUGGAAACUGGGGAACUUGAGUGCAGAAGAGGAGAGUGGAAUUCCACGUGUAGCGGUGAAAUGCGUAGAGAUGUGGAGGAACACCAGUGGCGAAGGCGACUCUCUGGUCUGUAACUGACGCUGAGGAGCGAAAGCGUGGGGAGCGAACAGGAUUAGAUACCCUGGUAGUCCACGCCGUAAACGAUGAGUGCUAAGUGUUAGGGGGUUUCCGCCCCUUAGUGCUGCAGCUAACGCAUUAAGCACUCCGCCUGGGGAGUACGGUCGCAAGACUGAAACUCAAAGGAAUUGACGGGGGCCCGCACAAGCGGUGGAGCAUGUGGUUUAAUUCGAAGCAACGCGAAGAACCUUACCAGGUCUUGACAUCCUCUGACAAUCCUAGAGAUAGGACGUCCCCUUCGGGGGCAGAGUGACAGGUGGUGCAUGGUUGUCGUCAGCUCGUGUCGUGAGAUGUUGGGUUAAGUCCCGCAACGAGCGCAACCCUUGAUCUUAGUUGCCAGCAUUCAGUUGGGCACUCUAAGGUGACUGCCGGUGACAAACCGGAGGAAGGUGGGGAUGACGUCAAAUCAUCAUGCCCCUUAUGACCUGGGCUACACACGUGCUACAAUGGACAGAACAAAGGGCAGCGAAACCGCGAGGUUAAGCCAAUCCCACAAAUCUGUUCUCAGUUCGGAUCGCAGUCUGCAACUCGACUGCGUGAAGCUGGAAUCGCUAGUAAUCGCGGAUCAGCAUGCCGCGGUGAAUACGUUCCCGGGCCUUGUACACACCGCCCGUCACACCACGAGAGUUUGUAACACCCGAAGUCGGUGAGGUAACCUUUAGGAGCCAGCCGCCGAA